AUGCAACACAGUCCGAUGCUGUGCGCGCGUCUACUGCAUUUUCAGCGGAGCAGCUGUGACCAUGGGUCCAUGGCUAGCUGCUGCUCGGUGGCGCGGAGCACGCACGCACGCACGCACGGGAAUCGUGUGAUUGGCCCUGCGUCUGCGCACGGCCGUGGGCCGGGGAGCAGGCAGAAGACGACGUUCGACGGCGUACGGCGAUGUGCGUGCACCCGGUUGGCGAAUGGCAACCAGCUGUGCGUAAUCAUGGUGAGGGCAAAAACACACACGUCGACGUCUGUUUCCUCUUCACUGCUCGGUUCUUGA
RNAcentral lists this ribosomal RNA (306 nucleotides) under Triticum aestivum (bread wheat). Its description in RNAcentral is "partial small subunit ribosomal RNA". The record is from RNAcentral. Lineage: Eukaryota; Viridiplantae; Streptophyta; Magnoliopsida; Poales; Poaceae.